ACGGUCCCCAUCCCGACCCAGCCUCCGGCUCGCCUCCCGCCGCGCCCCUGCUCCCAGCUCCGGGCCGCGCGCCGCGGCUGCACCCCGAGCCCCCCGCCCGCCGGGCCCCGCGCCGCCCCCGCGGGGAGAAGCGCCAGCGUGCUCGGUGCCACGUCGGAGCCGGCUCCCGGGACCGUGCCGCCGCCCGCGGGCCCCACGCACGCCCUGCCCCGCGACCCCGGGACCCCGGGACCCCCGCCCCAGCGCGGCUUCCGGAGCCCGGCUGAGCCCGCGCGGACCCAGCCUGACGCUUUCUGGGGGUCCGGAGAGUGCAAAGGAGGGGAAGCCCGGGGAAGUGGGAGUGGCCGAGCGAGGCCGGUAGCUGCGAGGAGGUGGCGAAGGACCCUCCUUCCCGGGGGUCCCGGCGCUCGGGAGCGGGGAGCCCGGGCCGCGUUAACCCUUUGCAUCCAAGUAAGCAGCGGGUCCCCCCCCCCCACCCCGCCCCUUAGAAGCAAAAGGCGCCGGGCUGUUCCAGGUUUGUCCUCCCCACGCAAAGUGGGGGGGCGGGAGAGGGGGUGGGAAGGGAUGGGAAGGAAGGGGCAAGGGGGGAGCCGCUGCGCGGAAUGCCUUUUCCCUGCACAGUGGAAAUCCUUGUUUCCUAACUUGGGAGCCCCUCUGCGGCUCCGGAAGGCGAGGAGUGGAAAACUACAUCCCGGGACGUGCAGGCUGUCCCAGGCGGAGAGGCUACCUGUGUCCCCAGAAAGGCAGCGGACUGCUGGCGAGCGCCGCAGGGAUGGGAAAAGACAGGGAUGCACCGCCAAGCCUGACAGUGAUCUGAAAUAUCCCCUGAUUUUCAGGCUGCUGGGCAAUUGGCAGACCUCAAACUUUUCUGUCGAAAAACCCAGCUUUACAGUUUUUUUUUUUUUUUUAAAUUUUUUAACGCUGAUGUGGAUCAUUUCUUCCCUCUCCCUGGCCUAUUCGGGGGGCCCUCCUGGUUCACCGUCUCGCGCCAGUGCAACAUACCUUGUUCAGCUCUUGGUCAUAAAGUUGUCCUCAGCCUGUCUGUGUGGUCCCGGAGGGUCGGUGGCGGGCAGUUUCCAAAAUUGA
RNAcentral lists this long non-coding RNA (1086 nucleotides) under Canis lupus familiaris (dog). Its description in RNAcentral is "lncRNA (ENSCAFG00030006546.1)". Lineage: Eukaryota; Metazoa; Chordata; Mammalia; Carnivora; Canidae. The record is from RNAcentral.